RNAcentral lists this microRNA precursor (63 nucleotides) under Callorhinchus milii (elephant shark). RNAcentral describes it as "Cmi-Mir-30-P1d3_pre stem-loop". It matches the Rfam family "mir-30 microRNA precursor family", at positions 1 to 60 of the family's 77-position model. From Rfam's summary of the family: This family consists of the mammalian microRNA (miRNA) precursor mir-30a. Animal miRNAs are transcribed as ~70nt precursors and subsequently processed by the Dicer enzyme to give a ~22nt product. The record is from RNAcentral. Lineage: Eukaryota; Metazoa; Chordata; Chondrichthyes; Chimaeriformes; Callorhinchidae.
UGUAAACAUCUUUAACUGAAAGCUUUACCUGACAAAUAUAACUUUCAGUUAGAUGUUUAUGUU